AGCGAACGCUGGCGGCAGGCCUAACACAUGCAAGUCGAACGAACUCUUCGGAGUUAGUGGCGGACGGGUGAGUAACACGUGGGAACGUGCCUUUUGGUUCGGAAUAACUCAGGGAAACUUGUGCUAAUACCGAAUGUGCCCUUCGGGGGAAAGAUUUAUCGCCAUUAGAGCGGCCCGCGUCUGAUUAGCUAGUUGGUGAGGUAACGGCUCACCAAGGCGACGAUCAGUAGCUGGUCUGAGAGGAUGACCAGCCACACUGGGACUGAGACACGGCCCAGACUACUACGGGAGGCAGCAGUGGGGAAUCUUGCGCAAUGGGCGAAAGCCUGACGCAGCCAUGCCGCGUGAAUGAUGAAGGUCUUAGGAUUGUAAAAUUCUUUCACCGGGGACGAUAAUGACGGUACCCGGAGAAGAAGCCCCGGCUAACUUCGU
This 432-nucleotide ribosomal RNA is filed under the name uncultured bacterium. Its description in RNAcentral is "partial 16S ribosomal RNA". It matches the Rfam family "Bacterial small subunit ribosomal RNA", at positions 29 to 506 of the family's 1533-position model. The record is from RNAcentral.